GACGAACGCUGGCGGCGUGCUUAACACAUGCAAGUCGAACGGAAAGGCCCUGCUUUUGUGGGGUUCUCGAGUGGCGAACGGGUGAGUAACACGUGAGUAACCUGCCCUUGACUUUGGGAUAACUUCAGGAAAAUGCGGCUAAUACCGGAUAGGAGCUCCUGCUGCAUGGAGGGGGUUGGAAAGUUUCGGCGGUUGGGGAUGGACUCGCGGCUUAUCAGCUUGUUGGGGGGGUAGUGGCUUACCCAGGCUUUGACGGGUCGCCGGCCUGGGAGGGUGACCGGCCUCAUUGGGACUGAGAGACGGCCCAGAGUCCAACGGGAGGCAGCAGUGGGGAAUAUUGCACAAUGGGCGGAAGCCUGAUGCAGAAGCGCCGCGGGCGGGAUGACGGCCUUCGGGUUGUAAACCGCUUUCGCCUGUGACGAAGCGUGAGUGACGGUAAUGGGUAAAGAAGCACCGGCUAACUACGUG
This 468-nucleotide ribosomal RNA is filed under the name uncultured bacterium. Its description in RNAcentral is "partial 16S ribosomal RNA". It matches the Rfam family "Bacterial small subunit ribosomal RNA", at positions 28 to 507 of the family's 1533-position model. The record is from RNAcentral.